UGUUUACAAUGUACCAAUGAAAAUAUGUUACAUAUACAAGUUUCAGUUGAAACUGAUUUUUAAGAUGAAAGGCCAUCAUGCCACACCUUGCAAUGUAUGCUGAUUAAAGCUGAAUGUCAAAGUUAACCUGCAAGAUAGCUGGGUGGCAGGAGGCAAAUAAUUUCUCCACCCAAAUCAUCACAGGUGCCUGCUAAAAAAAGUAUGAAUGAUCCUCUGAGAAACAAUGUUCGCAACUUCCUUUCAAUGGAUAUCUCACCUCAACCUCAUCCUGCGUCAGUGGUGUAGAAACUAAAGCAUGGAGAUCAGAAGAGAAGGCCUCUUAGCCAAACAAACUGCCAGUCCCUAAUUCUCCUUGUUGCAGUUCUUUUCUGCGCUGCUCUUCCAAAGGAUCUGGACUCUUCAAUAUCCUUCGCAGACGCCUGUCUUGGGCAUGCUGAGCAGGAAAAGUAGGCAUAAAAUCCUUAGACUUGGGAAGAGGAACUUCACGAAACCAUUCGUGGUUAAGAGCAGCAUCAGCAGUUAUUCGCUUCUCAGGGUCAUAGGUUAGAAGUUUGUUCAACAAAUCAAAUCCAGAAUCAGAAAGAACUGGCGAUCCAGUGAAAGAUGUUGCUGGGAAUUUCUUACGCAGUAGGUUAUACUGAUGCUUAACAAAGUUGACCUUCACACCAGGUAACUUGGAGAACCCAGGCCAGAUCGUCUCAUUUGGUGUGCCAAGUAUUCGGAAAAUCUUAUCAAGUUGAUCAAAUUCUGUUUUCCCAUUGAAAAGUGGUUCUUUUGCCAACAGUUCAGCCAUAAUACAAC
This 801-nucleotide unclassified non-coding RNA is filed under the name Hevea brasiliensis (rubber tree). The record is from RNAcentral. Lineage: Eukaryota; Viridiplantae; Streptophyta; Magnoliopsida; Malpighiales; Euphorbiaceae.